UAGGUAGUUAGCUCAGCGGUAGAGCAUCUGCCUUACAAGCAGAAAGUCAUUGGUUCAAUUCCAAUACUACCUAA
RNAcentral lists this transfer RNA (74 nucleotides) under Apicomplexa sp. WK-2018_Corallicola. Its description in RNAcentral is "tRNA-Val". It matches the Rfam family "tRNA". Rfam says of the family: Transfer RNA (tRNA) molecules are approximately 80 nucleotides in length. Their secondary structure includes four short double-helical elements and three loops (D, anti-codon, and T loops). The record is from RNAcentral. Lineage: Eukaryota; Apicomplexa.